Molecule: ribosomal RNA, 1355 nt
Filed under: uncultured bacterium
Lineage: Bacteria
Description: bacterial SSU rRNA
Rfam family: Bacterial small subunit ribosomal RNA
Source: RNAcentral
AUUGAACGCUGGCGGCAGGCUUAACACAUGCAAGUCGAACGAUGAUUAUCUAGCUUGCUAGAUAUGAUUAGUGGCGGACGGGUGAGUAACAUUUAGGAAUCUGCCUAGUAGUGGGGGAUAGCUCGGGGAAACUCGAAUUAAUACCGCAUACGACCUACGGGUGAAAGGGGGCGCAAGCUCUUGCUAUUAGAUGAGCCUAAAUCAGAUUAGCUAGUUGGUGGGGUAAAGGCCCACCAAGGCGACGAUCUGUAACUGGUCUGAGAGGAUGAUCAGUCACACCGGAACUGAGACACGGUCCGGACUCCUACGGGAGGCAGCAGUGGGGAAUAUUGGACAAUGGGGGCAACCCUGAUCCAGCCAUGCCGCGUGUGUGAAGAAGGCCUUUUGGUUGUAAAGCACUUUAAGCAGGGAGGAGAGGCUAAUGGUUAAUACCCAUUAGAUUAGACGUUACCUGCAGGAUAAGCACCGGCUAACUCUGUGCCAGCAGCCGCGGUAAUACAGAGGGUGCGAGCGUUAAUCGGAAUUACUGGGCGUAAAGCGAGUGUAGGUGGCUCAUUAAGUCACAUGUGAAAUCCCCGGGCUUAACCUGGGAACUGCAUGUGAUACUGGUGGUGCUAGAAUAUGUGAGAGGGAAGUAGAAUUCCAGGUGUAGCGGUGAAAUGCGUAGAGAUCUGGAGGAAUACCGAUGGCGAAGGCAGCUUCCUGGCAUAAUAUUGACACUGAGAUUCGAAAGCGUGGGUAGCAAACAGGAUUAGAUACCCUGGUAGUCCACGCCGUAAACGAUGUCUACUAGCCGUUGGGGUCCUUGAGACUUUAGUGGCGCAGUUAACGCGAUAAGUAGACCGCCUGGGGAGUACGGCCGCAAGGUUAAAACUCAAAUGAAUUGACGGGGGCCCGCACAAGCGGUGGAGCAUGUGGUUUAAUUCGAUGCAACGCGAAGAACCUUACCUGGUCUUGACAUAGUGAGAAUCCUGCAGAGAUGCGGGAGUGCCUUCGGGAAUUCACAUACAGGUGCUGCAUGGCUGUCGUCAGCUCGUGUCGUGAGAUGUUGGGUUAAGUCCCGCAACGAGCGCAACCCUUUUCCUUAUUUGCCAGCGGGUUAAGCCGGGAACUUUAAGGAUACUGCCAGUGACAAACUGGAGGAAGGCGGGGACGACGUCAAGUCAUCAUGGCCCUUACGACCAGGGCUACACACGUGCUACAAUGGUAGGUACAGAGGGUUGCUACACGGCGAUGUGAUGCUAAUCUCAAAAAGCCUAUCGUAGUCCGGAUUGGAGUCUGCAACUCGACUCCAUGAAGUCGGAAUCGCUAGUAAUCGCAGAUCAGAAUGCUGCGGUGAAUACGUUCCCGGGCCU